This 24928-nucleotide long non-coding RNA is filed under the name Vitis vinifera (wine grape). RNAcentral's name for it is "long non-coding RNA (VVIN_LNC007225)". Lineage: Eukaryota; Viridiplantae; Streptophyta; Magnoliopsida; Vitales; Vitaceae. The record is from RNAcentral.
AGUAGCAAAGCUACUAUAGCAUAGUGGCUCUAGGAUCGAACACUGGGAAGGGUUUUUACUUUAACUGGUGAAGUUCGGAGGAUGGAGUGAACUUUUCUUAAUAAAAAUUAGGUUAAGAUGAAAACAUAAAAAAUGAAGGUGUUGUAAACUAAACUAACAUGAAAAUAGGUUAAAAGAUGGAAAAAGAAGUUUCUCAAAGCUUUGGAUAGCCAUGAUUAACUCACUGUGUAAAAAUGGAGAUUUUGGAACUUUUCACCUCGAGUUGGGGAAGCAACUAAGGUGAUGCUUACUUCCUGAACCGGUAUGAGUUUAACAACUGAGUUUUAGUCCUUGAAAACUUACAAAAAGGGUAGCUGAACCUCAUAAAUGCUCUUUUAAUGAUAUAUGUCAUCUCCUCGACUUGCAAUACAAUGGCUCGUAGGAGAUAACUAAUGAACGUCAGUGGAUCUAAUAAUAAGAAUCCACUAAGACCAAAAGGUUAUCAAGUAUUGGCCAUUCAAAGCAAGUCAGAGGGAUUAAAAGCUUUGCUUUGAAUGAAAACAUUUAUGACGCUUAGCUACUUACAUUAAUGGCUUGGAAAUCUCCAUCCUGACACGGGAGCUUCACAUGGCAUCCAUUACUUCAAGAAACUAAAAGGUUUUAACCUCUCAUCCUUGGGGAUUUCAUCCUCCAAGGAUGUUUGGCUACUAAGAAAAUGAGAAAGAAAAGAGAAAAGAAACAUAUGAACAAAAAUGCUCUUAUAACUUAUAAAGUUACAGGUUACAAGAUUACAAGAUUUCUUUGUCUGAGGCUCUUCACCUCUAUUUAAAGACAAUAAAAAGCUAAAUUACAAGAGCUAUUACAAAAGCAACCUUUUCAUUGGUUGAUUACAAGGGUAAAAUAGGUAUUUACAAAGCUAAAAAUCAAGCAAAAUAUCUUGGAGAACCGGCAGUGGAAUAUCAUCAAUAGCGUAUCAAAACAGGGGAUUUCAAAGGCAUUUUGCAAGGGGGGAAGAUGAAGGGUCCAAAUUUCGCAAGGUGAAAAGCCACCUUGCGAAAUUUGGCAUUUUCGCAAGGUGCCUAAUUCCACCUUGCGAAAUUUCGCAAGGUGGUUUCUUCAUGGUGCGAAAUUGCCAAAUUUCGCACCAUGAGGAAAAUCCCCUUGCGAAAAUUUGGCAAGGUGAAAUUCUCCUUGCAAAAUUGGUUCUUUUGGCAAGUGAAUUGCCUCCCUUUGCGAAAUGGUGUUCCCAUUGCUUGUGCUCGUGUUUCCACUUGAAAUUCAAGUUUGUAAACGUCCAAAAUCCUUGCUUAACUCGCCCAAGUAGCUCCUCCAUCAAUUGGCAUGCUUGAAUUGGUUCAUAAGCUGAUGAAAAACAUGUAAACUUGCCACUAAAAAUGUUUAGAACUAAUUACUAAGGAGCUUAAUGAGUUAAUUAGGUUAAAUGAAUAUGAUUACUACUCAAAGGUGCUUAAAACCCUUAUAAUUAGGUCUACAAAAUAGCACUUUUCGGUAGUAAUCACACCCCCCAACCGACUCAUUGCUAGUCCCUUAGCAAUGGAGGAGAUAAAAACUAAGUAAACAUAAUAAUAUACAUAAAAGAGGUCAUGCAAAUCACUCCAAAAAAUAAUUGAGUGGCAUGACUGAUAUCAAAACCCAUCUCACAUGGUGAACUAAAGAUAUGAAGAUUCAAAAUGCAAUAGGAGUUGUCAAAGCUAAAACUUAAACAAAAAGUACAAAGAGUGGAGAUUAUGCAAUUAAGUAUCAAAAGAAUCUCUACUCUCAAGGUUCCGGAUCAAACUCUUCCAUAAUGAGCUAAGUGUUAAUGAGAUUAGCUUCCGGAUAUAGUAUGUACAACUAUCCUCUCCCCCCAACCUAAGCUUUUCUCGAACAUUGGCAAAAUUAACCAACUCUUAAUAGGCUAGGAACACACCUUCUUAUUCACAAUUCUUUUUACUCACUAAACUUAACCAAUUCACCUAUGUAGCAAGCAGAGGAUCGAUGACUCCCAACCAAUCAAGGUUUAGGGCAUCGGGUUUUAAAGGCUUUUGCCACCCCUUCGGAUCAUGCUUAGGUUUCAAGGAAAGAAUAGAAGCUUAUUCUUUUUUUCUUUUUUUUUUCUUAAGACUCAUUGGUCUUUUUGAGGUGUCCCAACACUAUUAAAAAGAGGUUAAGUAAUGAACCAAGUCAAAAUUUUCCUAAGCUUAGAGGGUGAGAAAGUUUUACAUCAUAUAUCCGGGAUCUAAUGUGCACGGUGUGUGUAAAGCUUGAAAUGGAAGAAAUAAGUUCGAAAUCAAAGAGGGCUUCAAUAGAUUAUCAACUUUGUAAGCAUAAAACAAACUCUAAGACUUAAGUAAUUAAGUUAAAACUCGACUUAUCCUAUUUUAUUUUGAGAAAUUAUCUUUAACAACCAUAGAGAAUGAAAUAAAAAAUUUUGAAAAAGGUCAAAAACUACUAAAUCAACAAAAUAACUAACUAAAAUAGGAAAUACUUACUUCCUCAACUCUCCCCCCAACCGAGAUGAACAUUGUCCCCAAUGUUUCUAUCGAAAAAGACGAGGAAGGAAUGAUAUACCUUAUGGUGAUGUGGUAUUCAAGGUGUGUGAGUGCAUCCACAUGAUUCAAAAACCAUAAGAAACGUGAGAGAGGAAAUAAGAUACAAAAAAUGAUGCUUAUAUAAACUGAGAGAGUUGAGUACAAGAUAUAAGCAUGAGGUACAUACAAUCUUAGAAUAUAAAACAUGUAACAUAUACAAAAAACAUAUACAAAAUGGAGAUAGAAAUAUCCAAUCAUGGAUGUGGCUCCUAAGGUGGAGGAGGUGAUAUGCCCAGGUGAUGGUGGAUCUGAGAGAGCAUGGCGGAGUGCUGGUCCAGGAUAGCUGUAUGCUGAGCCUGAUGUGUCUGUAAGGUAUCCAUCUGUCGUCUGAUGGCCUACAUCUCACGGACUAAGGUGGCCUGAGAGGCGCUCAAUGAGUGAAAGGACGACAUGAGAGCUCUGAACUCUGUAGCGGAGACAAUGAUGGAUGGCCCGACUGAAGACUCAGCAUAGGCUGAAGUAGGAGUGACUGGUGGUGUGGGAGUAUCAGUAGUGCAAGUCACUGGAGCAGGUACUGAAGAAGAAGACUCUGUGGUAUGUGGGUCCUGCUCUGGUGAUGUCUGUACUGUAAGUGCUGAGGCUGCUGGAAACUCGGGAGGCGCUGGAGAAGCUGGAAGCCUAGGAGCUAAUGGUCUAAGGAUACCCUGGUCCAUGGGUGAGCGGUCUAAGAACUGGGUCCAACUCUCACUGGUAAAGAGCUCUCGACAAUGAUGAUGACGCUCUAGGUGGGGCUGAGAAGGGUAUCCCAUAUCCUCUAAGACCUGAGAGAUUAGCCUCGGAAAUAAGAGUGGAAUAGUACCAGCUCUGCGUAGGCGCUUCCUAUGCACCUUCUCCUCAAAAUAGGUAAGAGCAGCCAUGACUAGAUGGUGGGGUCCAAAGUAGAAUCCCUCAGAGAUGCGGUAAAGCGCAUCUAGGAUAGCACCUCUCCUCUGGACAACAUGCUGGAGUGGAAAAAGGUUGGUGCGGAGCACCGAAUCGUUAAACAACAUCCAUGGAGGAAGCUCCCUCCUCAAAAUGGUCAUACCAGUGACUCUACCUCCUGAUAAGGUAGACACCAUGUCGGGCUCUGAAUACUGAGACCAAUGCCAGAAGGAACCAAGGUCCUCAGGGAUAGGUGGAAAAUGCAUAGAGGCGGCUAUAUCUCGGGCCUCUAAAAUACCAUGCUGGCCAUCAAUCACAAAAUGAAUGGCUAUGGGGUCCUGGACGCCUCUAGUAGUCAUAGUCUGGUAGAAAUCUAAGACUACCCUAGGGUAAUAGAAGGACCUAGGAGUCAUAAAUGGCUCGAUGUGGUACCUCUACAGAAGGCGGUAUGACUCCUCUAGCUCUGGUAAUAGGCGGAGAGUCUCAUGCUCCAUACAGAUCUCCUUGUGAAAUGGCCUAUCUCUGAUAUCCGUGUUGCCUGGGAGGGGUGGCCCUGCUAUCAUAGGCCGCUUGAGGACCUCUGCUAGGUGUGAAGAGCUUGGGAUAGUAGAUGCUGGAGGUGAUGGAGGGGCUCUGGAGGACUCGCCUAGUCCUGAAAUCCUAGUCCUCUUAGGUGGAGGACUGCUCACAGGGGGUGGAACUGGUGCCCUGGAAGACCCAGAUGAUCGUUUGGUCUUAUACCCGUGCUGAGUAGAGGGAACUGGGGUUUGGGCAGGCUGAGAUGGUGUAGAAUGACCACCUCUCUGUGAGUGGGCCCCACGCUGACUAGCUGAAGAGGAUGCCUCCCGUGUCCGUGCCAUGGUAUAAAUACUGAAAUAAAACUGAAAAACACGAAAAAUAGAGCAUCCCAGGGGUAAAGUGUCAAAAAUACAGUUGAAAUGGUAACCAGUGCAAAAUUUGCAAGGCAUGAAUAGUGGUUGCUAAAUUUGGCAACGGGCACUAUUCACGCAGCACUAUUCACAGGCAUUAUUCAUCUUCUUCUCCAAUGCUUACUUUGAAUUUGAGUUUUCAUUUUUAACGGUUUAAAAUUCAGAAAAAGGGUAUGGUUUUAAUGGAAACAUGAUUCUAAAUGCAAUGGAGUAAGUUUGGGAGCCUAAAACACAUUGCAAGAUAGAGAUUUUUGCAAAAAUGGUGGCUGGCCAUGUGGGUCUUUGAUUUGAAAAAAUGGAUUUUUGAAAUGGUUUUAAUGGAUGAAAAUGCAUGUUUAUGGUUCCUAAAACAUAGAAAUGACAUAAACAAGCAAUUUAAGGAGCCAAAAAUGGAGAAAAAUGAAAAAUCACUCACCUUGGAACAAUGAAGCACGCGACCUAGAGAGGAAAAGCAAGGUGAAUAGUGUUUUAUGCAUGAAAAAUGAAGAUGAGAAGGCUUUAAAAAGGGUUUUUGGCCAUGAAAAAAUUUUGAAAAUUUUGUCUAAGUACGGGGAUGAACUGAGGAGUGUUAAAACUACAAAAUUGAAGUUUGAAAAUGAAUUUAAAAAGAAUCAAAUCCUUGGUAAGCAUGAAGAAAAAAUUUCGCAAGGUGAAAAUUCACUACCCCCCUUAAAAACCAAUCCCGAGAGGUUGCAUUUUGAUAUUUGCUUUGAAAACAACUUCGCAAGGUGAAAAAUGACUUGCGAAAUUUUUCGCACUGGUUACUCCUUGCGAAAGUGCAAUCCCGAGAGGUUGCAUUUUCCAUCUUGCCAAAAUGUGCAUUUCGCAAGGUGAAAUUCACUUUGCGAAAUUUUCGCAACUCAACUUUUUGAGUUGUGAAAUGGGCUUUUAAGCUUGGACUUAGAUAUAUUUCUCCCCUACUUCACCUUUCUCUCCACAUUUGUGAGUUUGUGAGCUUUCGUACCCGCUAUUGGACAUCAAAGCUCCAUUAAAAACAUAAAAAAAAAUCAAAAUCAAAACUAAGAAACCUAAACAAAAUAUGUGCAAAAGUAUUAAAAAUGCAAAGUAAACAAGAAUGUAAUACUAAAAUUAAAACAAAAAGAGAUGAGCACUUAGCUUUUCAUGCUAAGCUCAUCAACUUACCACACUUUCUCAAGGAUGUGAUGGGUCAUGGAGGAUGAGUACCUCCUUGUCAUGGGAAAAUGGCUCAAUGUAGGGCUUGAGUCUUUGCCCAUUUACCUUGAAGGUCUUUUCACUUUUUGAGUUGAGUAACUCAAUUACUCCAUGUGAGUGUACUUGGUGGAUGACAAAAGGCCCUACCCACCUUGAUUUGAGCUUUCUCGGAAAUAGGUGAAGCUUAGAGUCAUAUAACAAGACUCUUUGUCCCUUGAAAAAUUCUUUCUUGGUCACCAACUGAUCAUGCCAUCUCUUUAGCUUUUCCUUAGCUAUUUUUGAGUUGAGAUAGGCAUCAUUUCUCAAUUCCUCAAGCUCAUUCAAAUCCAAACUCCUCUUUAGCCCAGCCUUAGUUAAAUCCAUGUUGAGCUUUUUAAUGGCGCACCAUGCCUUGAACUCAAUCUCAACGGGAAGAUGGCAAGCUUUGCCAUAAACAAGACGGUACGGUGACAUCUCAAGGAUAGUCUUAUAAGCCGUCCUAUACGCCCAUAGGGAAUCAAGGAGCUUAACAGACCAAUCUUUCCUAUUGGUGUUCACCACCUUCAUCAAGAUGUUCUUAAUUUCCCGGUUGGCUAGCUCUACUUGGCCACUCGUCUGAGGAUGAUAAGGUGUAGCUACCUUAUGCUUAACUUCGUACUUGGCCAAAAGAGCUUCAAAGGGCUUGUUGUAAAAGUGAGUGCCUCCAUCACUGAUGAUUGCCUUAGACACUCCAAACCUCGAGAAGAUGUUUUCUUUUAGGAACUUGAGAACCACUUUGUGAUCAUUGGUUUUACAGGGUAUAGCUUCAACCCACUUUGAAACAUAAUCAACUCCUACCAAGAUGUAGGAGUGGCCAAAAGACAUAGGGAAAGGUCCCAUGAAGUCUAUGCCCCAAACAUAAAAAAGAUCCACUAUCAAGAUGGGGUUCAAAGGCAUCAUGUUUCUCCUUGAAAGCUUGCCUAGUCUUUGGCACUUAUCACAUCCUUUACUUACCUCAUGGGCAUCCUUAAAAAGUGAGGGCCACCAAAAGCCCGAUUGAAGAACUCUCAUUGCCGUCUUUUGAGAGGCAAAGUGGCCUCCACAUGCAUUCCCAUGGCAAUGAGAUAGGAUCCCAUGCUUCUCUUGUUCAGGCACACACUUCCUUAUAAUUUGGUCCACACAAUACUUGAAGAGAAAAGACUCCUCCUAAUAAUAUGCAUGGACCUUGGCAAAGAAAUUCUUCUUGUCCUGAGAGCUCCAUUCACUUGGUAUUUCUCCUGUGACCAAGUAAUUGGCAAUGUGUGCAAACCAUGGCACUUCCUCCACAAGCAUCAAGGAUUCCUCAGGGAAAUCAUCAUUUAUGGGAAGUCCAUGGGUGUCAUUAGCGAUGUUGAGCCUUGACAAGUGGUCAGCUACCACAUUCUCAACACCUUUCUUAUCUUUGAUCUGGNNNNNNNNNNNNNNNNNNNNNNNNNNNNNNNNNNNNNNNNNNNNNNNNNNNNNNNNNNNNNNNNNNNNNNNNNNNNNNNNNNNNNNNNNNNNNNNNNNNNNNNNNNNNNNNNNNNNNNNNNNNNNNNNNNNNNNNNNNNNNNNNNNNNNNNNNNNNNNNNNNNNNNNNNNNNNNNNNNNNNNNNNNNNNNNNNNNNNNNNNNNNNNNNNNNNNNNNNNNNNNNNNNNNNNNNNNNNNNNNNNNNNNNNNNNNNNNNNNNNNNNNNNNNNNNNNNNNNNNNNNNNNNNNNNNNNNNNNNNNNNNNNNNNNNNNNNNNNNNNNNNNNNNNNNNNNNNNNNNNNNNNNNNNNNNNNNNNNNNNNNNNNNNNNNNNNNNNNNNNNNNNNNNNNNNNNNNNNNNNNNNNNNNNNNNNNNNNNNNNNNNNNNNNNNNNNNNNNNNNNNNNNNNNNNNNNNNNNNNNNNNNNNNNNNNNNNNNNNNNNNNNNNNNNNNNNNNNNNNNNNNNNNNNNNNNNNNNNNNNNNNNNNNNNNNNNNNNNNNNNNNNNNNNNNNNNNNNNNNNNNNNNNNNNNNNNNNNNNNNNNNNNNNGUCCCAUACACAGUUAUGUCAUCCAUGAAGACUUCCAUGAUUCGUUCAACCAUGUCACUGAAGAUGCUAAGUGAUUACUACCAAAAAGUGCUAUUUUGUAGACCUAAUUAUAAUGGUUUUAAGCACCUUUGAGUAGUAAUCAUAUUCAUUUAACCCAAUUAAUUCAUUAAGGUCCUUAGUAAUUGGUUUUAACCAUUUUUGUGGCAAGUUUACAUGUUUUUAUCAGCUUAUGAAUCAAUUCAAGCAUGCCAAAUGAUGGAGGAGCUACUUGAACAAGUUAUGGCAAAGCUUAUGGAAGCUCAAAUUCAUGAAGAAACCAAGCUUUGGAGCCUGAUAGUCCUUUGCCUUAAUCGUUCAAAGUAUGCAAGGAAAGAGCACUGGAGAGAGGAAAACAGAGUGAAGAAAACAGAGGACAAUAGCUGCAGUCUUCUUGCGCACUUUUGGAGCACUUCCCGAAGUCCAUUUUCUACAUGCUAUAUACCAUUUUAAAGCUCAGGAAGUCAAGAAUCCAAUGCUUCAAACGGUACACAAUUCGGAGUUGAAAUGAAGGAGUUACAGCCAUUAAAAAAGAUCACUCCAAGCUGAAGGAAGCAUUUUGCAAAGUGUUGCGGAAUCACCCUUUUGUUGCGAAAUGAUUUCGCAGCCUAUUUGUAUAGUGUUGUGGAUUCCCUCCUGAAGUUGCCCGAUAUAUGCUGCAAAUUGGAAGCUAAGCACCUCAAGAUGAAAGCCAACUUCGCAGCCCUGCGAGAAUAACCUUUUGCUGCGAAGUGAUUUCGCAGCCCUUUUUGUGCGUCUGCGAAAUCUCGCAGACCUCGUUUUCACCUGCGAAAUGGUCCUUAGUGCUUCCCGAUAUUUUUGCACCGACUCUUUUAGAUCUUUUCUUCAGAUAUUUUUGUAUAAUUUCCAUUUUCUCCUUGUAUUCAACCACUCAUGUAAUUCCUUAGCUAGGAAGUAUCCAAGGAAGGGUAAAUUACCUUCCUAUAUAAACUCUCUUGCAUCCAAUGUAAUAUAGAAUCAUGUAGGAUCGAUCAAUAUAUAGAUAUAUCAUAUAUAGAAUCAACGAACAGAGCACUUGCUCUGUUUUUCAUAUAUAUUCUUGUUUUCUCGUUAGUUUUCUUUCUAGCCAACCAAACUCUGAGGAUUUUUCCUAAGAGGACGAGAGGCUAAGAUUUUUGUCUCUUGGAGUAAGGAAAGCCGGGUAAGUUUCCACAUGUAUAAUUUGGAAGUUUUGUUGUUUUAGUUUUUAAUGAAGAGAAAGUGUGACCCGUUAAUGGUUUUUAUCUUUUUAGUUAACUUAAAACGCCUUUAAAGCACCUGGGCCAACACUUGGUAAGGCAAGUGAUCUCCAUCCAUGGAGAUUCACUAGUUUAUCUCUUGCGAGCCUUUGGGAGGUGGUUUGAAGGUAGGAUUUUCUAGAAUAGCCAACACUUGGUAAGCUUUUGGACUCCAAGGAGACAUCCAUUAGUUAUCUCUUGCGAGCUUUUGACGGGUAAUCCAAGGUUAAAGAUCACCUUGAAUGGCAAGUGCUAGGUGAGAGGUAUGAGCCAUUGCAAGAUGCAUCAGUGAGAGGGAUUUAGUGUUUGAACCCAUUAAUGGGAAGCAUCUGUACAACACCGGUUGGAGAAUGAACUAUAUGUUAAUUCUCUAAUGCGAGGAAAAGAAACAAGUGACCGGAACUCCAUUUUUGUAUGAGGAAUCUGAGCCUAGUGAUCUGAAACUCCAAGAAACAUUUUUCUUUGUAAGUAAAAUCAGUUACUAUUUUUGGUUAGUUUAAAACUAAACCUUUUUCAUUUAAACAUCUUUAUGUUUUCUUUUAAAGCUAACCUUGAAAUGAAAAGACACCAAUUCAGCUUUGAAUUAAUAUCAUUUGCAAAGUGAAAACCCAUCCCAGUGAACGAUCCUAGAGCCGCUAUGCUAUAGUAGCUUUGUCUUUGCUACCCUAGUAUAUGGUGUAAUAGGUUAUAAAUUUUGUUGAUUACUCCCUCAAUCAAGGAGCACCAGCUGGACACAAAUCAGCUGAGACACCAAUUGGGCACGAAUCACUAAGCAUGCAUCUUUGGAAGGUAGCAGGAGCGUUGCAUAAUCCAAAAGGCAUUCGCUUAUAAGCAUAGGUGCCGAAUGGACAAGUGAAGGUAGUCUUCUCCUGGUCCUCCACGUCAAUCUCUAUUUGAAAAUACCCGGAAUACCCAUCCAAGAAGCAAUAAAAAGGAUGCCCAAAUACUCUCUCAAGGACUUGAUCCAUGAAAGGUAAAGGGAAGUGAUCCUUUCUCGUUACUGUGUUCAGCUUCCUGUAGUCAAUGCACACCCUCCAACCAGUUGUGAGGCGUGUGGACACUUCAUCUCCAUUUUCCCCCUUGACUACGGUUAUCCCAGACUUCUUUGGAACAACUUGGGUUGGACUCACCCAAGUGCUAUCUGAAAUGGGGUAAAUGAUGCCCGCUUGAAGAAGCUUCAACACUUCAGCCCUUACUACCUCUUGCAUAUGAGGAUUCAAUCUCCUUUGUGGCUGACGAGUUGGCUUAGCUCCCUCCUCCAUAUAAAUAUGGUGCGUGCAAAUCAAUGGGCUUAUCCCCUUCAAAUCAGAAAUUUACCAUCCGAUGGCCUUCUUGUGCUUUCUAAGGAUUCUUAGAAGAUUGUUCUCUUGUGAAACGAUUAAAGAAAAAGAAAUUACCACCGGGGCUUUAUUUCCUUUCUCCAAGUAAGCAUACUUCAACUCGGCAGGAAGGGUCUUCAAUUCAAGCUUAAGGAUUGCAUCCUUAGCUUCUUUCAUCUCUUCCUCAUCCUUGAACAAAGGGAGGAUCAAUGGCUUUUGUCUCCAGUUUGACAUAACGGCAUUAAUUCCCAUGGGUUCAGCUAACCCAUCAUCAAGAUCUUCAUGGCUUUCAUCUGGAUUCUCUUCAAACUGAUCAAGCAUACUCUGAUUACAAUGCUCCUCCACCAGGGUAUCUAUCAUACACACUUCUUCUGGGCCCUCAUCUUCUUCAGGAUGGAUGUGCUUUUGACAUAGAUGGAAGAUGUUGAGUUCCAAUGUCAUAUUCCCAAAAGUGAGUUGCAUGACCCCAUUCCUACAAUUGAUGAUUGCAUUGGAUGUUGCAAGGAAUGGUCUUCCAAGGAUGAUUGGAACAUAGUUGAUCCCUUUGACAAUGGGAUCCGUAUCAAGCACCACAAAAUCUAAUGGAUAGUAGAAUUUGUCAACUUGAACCAAUACAUCCUCUAUUACCCCCCUGGGGAUUUUCACUGAUCGGUCAGCUAAGGAUAGGGUGAUCGAUGUUGGCUUGAGUUCUCCCAACCCCAGCUCCUUGUAUACAGAGUAUGGAAGCAAGUUAACACUUGCCCCCAAAUCAAGCAAUGCCUUCUCCACUUGGGUUCCUCCAAUAUUGACUGAGAUUGUAGGACACCCCGGAUACUUGUAUUUGAUUGGAGACUUGCAUUGGAUUAUAGCACUCACUUGCUCGGUUAGGAAGGCUUGCUUUGUAACAUUGAGUCCUCUUUUCACAGUGCAGAAGUCCUUCAAAAAAUUUGCAUAUGUGGGUACUUGCUUGAUCAUAUCAAGUAAAGGAAUAUUCACCUUCACUUGUCUUAGCACAUCAAGAAUCUCAGAAGCAUUCUUGAUUGGUUUCUUCCCACGCAAGGCUUGAGGAAAUGGAAGAGGCAUGUGCUUCUUCAUCAUGCCUUCCUUUAAAAGGAUUUGAGGUUCCUCAUCCAUGCUAGGAAUGAUGCUUUCUUUCAUCUGAACUUCCUUUCCCUUUUGUUCUUUCUUUUUUUCUUUUUUUCUAUCAGCCUUGUCUUCUUUGGCUUUCCUCUGAUCAUGCUCCGGCUGAUGCACUUCCUUACCACUUCUCAAAGUGAUAAUAGCUUGCACGUCCCUCACCUUUGAAGAAUCCUCAUCUUUGGAUUCCACUUCAUGUAUCCCCUUAGGAUUUUGGUGAGGCUGAGAGGGAAACUUCCCUUUCUCAUUGACAAUGUUCAAAUUUGUGAGCCUUGAGAUGGAAUAUUGGAUGUUGUCAAUUUUCUGAGACAACUCAUUAUGCAUCCCAUCUAUCUUCUUGUUCACUGUACUCUCUACGUUUUCAAUCUUCUGAUUUAGUUGAGAGUUGAUGGAUUUUUGCUCACUCACAAAGUCACCCAUAACCUUGCUAAGGUUUAUGAGUGCUUGCUCAACUGAGGAUUGACCUUGACUCUGUUGGCUUGAUUGGGCUAGUGACUGAUAUGGGUUUAACCUUGGCUUCCAUGCAAAGUUUGGGUGGUUCCUCCAGCUAGAGUUGUAUGUGUUGCCAUAGGGAGCAUUUGAAUUUGGCUUCCAUUGGCCAAUCAGGUUAGCUUGUUCCCCGAACAUUUCUCUUGCUGCUGGAAUGGUGGGACAUUCUUCCACCAUAUGUUCAAAUGACUGACAGAUGGAGCAAGGAUUGGCUUGUUGUUGAGGUUCUGAAAUAGCUUGGACUUCGUGAACUUUUCUCAACUCCAUUUCCUCUAUUUUUCUAGCCAUGGCAGCUACCUUGGCUUUCAUCUCCAUGUCUUCACUCAGAUUGUACAUUCCUCCUCUUGCCAUUCGCUGAACUAGCCUCUUCCCCAUUUCUCUGCUAUUGGGCUCAUCCCAUCCACGGGAAACCUGAUUCAUGCCCAAUUGGUGUCUCAACUGAUUCAUGUCCAGCUGGUGCUCCUUGAUUGAGGGAGUAAUCAACAAAAUUUAUAACCUAUUACACCAUAUACUAGGGUAGCAAAGACAAAGCUACUAUAGCAUAAUGGCUCUAGGAUCGUUCACUGGGAUGGGUUUUCACUUCACAAAUGAUAUUAAUUCAAAGUUGAAUUGGUGCCUUUUCAUUUCAAGGUUAGCUUUAAAAGAAAACAUAAAGAUGUUGGAAUGAAAAAAAGUUUGGUUUUAAACUAACCAAAAAUAGUAACUGAUUUUACUUACAAAGAAAAGUGUUUCUUGGAGUUUCAGAUCACUAGGCUCAGAUUCCUCAUACAAAAAGGGAGUUCCGGUCACUUGUUUCUUUUCCUCGCAUUAGAGAAUUAACAUAUAGUUCCUUCUCCAACUGGUGUUGUACAGAUGCUUCCCAUUAAUGGGUUCAAACACUAAAUCCCUCUCACUGAUGCACCUUGCAAUGGCUCAUGUCUCUUACCUAGCACUUGCCAUUCGAGAUGAUCUUUAACCUUGGAUUACCCGUCAAAAGCUCGCAAGAGAUAACUAAUGGAUGUCUCCUUGGAGUCCAAAAGCUUACCAAGUGUUGGCUAUUCUAGAAAAUCCUACCUUCAAACCACCUACCAAAGGCUCGCAAGAGAUAAACUAGUGAAUCUCCAUGGAUGGAGAUCACUUGCCUUACCAAGUGUUGGCCUAGGUGAUUUAAAGGCGUUUUAAGUUAACUAAAAAGAUAAAAACCAUUAACGGGUCACACUUUCUCUUCAUUAAAAACUAAAACAACAAAACUUCCAAAUUAUGCAUGUGGAAACUUACCCGGCUUUCCUCACUCCAAGAGACAAAAAGCUUAGCCUCUCAUCCUCUGUGGAAAAAUCCUCAGAGUUUGGUUGGCUAGAAAGAAAACUAACGAGAAAACAAGAAUAUAUAUGAAAAGCAGAGCAAGUGCUCUGUUCGUUGAUUCUAUAUAUGAUAUAUCUAUCUAUCUAUCUCGUCGGAUUACAUCAUUAUAUGAUGAUAUUCUCUGAGAACAAGCUUCCGAGAGCUAUAUAUAAAGAAAAUUACAAAACAAAAUAUCUGAGGUUAUUCACCCCUUUUCCAAACUUAAUAACUAAGGAAUCCUAUAAUUGGUGGGUUGCAAGGAGAAUCUGGGGAUUUAGACAACAAAAAUCUAAAGCAAAAUAUCCAAAAGUGUCGGUCGCAAAUAUCGGGAAGCACUAAGGACCAUUGAUUACUACCAAAAAGUGCUAUUUUGUAGACCUAAUAAUAAUGGUUUUAAGCACCUUUGAGUAGUAAUCAUAUUCAUUUAACCCAAUUAAUUCAUUAAGGUCCUUAGUAAUUGGUUUUAACCAUUUUGUGGCAAGUUUACAUGUUUUUAUCAGCUUAUGAACCAAUUCAAGCAUGCCAAUUGAUGGAGGAGCUAUUUGGGCGAGUUAAGUGAUUACUACUCAAAACAUGCUAUUUAGUAGCUUGUAAUUAUCUCUUUUAAACACCCUUGAGUAGUAAUUAUUACCUUUUAACUCAAUUAACAUGUUAGGGACCCUUGCAAUCGUUUCUAACAAUUGUGUUAAGUUUUGGUGCUUUUUGAUAGCUUUAUGCUCACCAAAGCAAUUUAUGAAUGAGGGAGAGCUAUAUAUGGUUCAUGGCAAAGCUUUUGGAAAGCUUAAAUUUAUGAAGAAACCAAGCUUUGGAGCCUCAUAAUCCUUUGCCUUAGUAGUUCAAAGUAUGCAAGGAGAGAACAAUGGAGAAGAGGAAAACAGGGUGAUGAAAACAAGGGACACAGCUGCAGUCUUUCAUUGCACUUUUGGAGCACUUCCCGAAGUCCAUUUUUUACAUUCUAUAUACCAUUUCAAAGCUCAGAAAGUCAAGAAUCCAACGAUUCAAACCAUGUACGAUUUGGAGCUGAAAUGAGGAAGAUAGGGCCUUCGGAAGACAACUGCAUCAAGCUGAGGGACAAUUUCGCACGAUGGAAAUCAAGGUGCGAAUUCCUCAGUCCAAAGUGUGGGAAUUUCGCACACCUCAAACCAAAGUGCGAAAUUGGAAAUCCAACGUGCGAAAAUUGGAUAUUUUUGCCGACUCUUUUUCUUCUGAUAUUUUUGUGUCUAAAUUUCCAUUUUCUCCUUGUAUUCAACUACUCAUGUAAUUCCUUAGCUAGGAAGUAUCCAAGGAAGGGUAAAAUUACCUUCAUAUAUAAAUUCUCUUGUAAACACUGAAAAAACACUCGGGAGCUUUCUCCAGGAGACGAACUGAUGUAAAUUCUACACUAAGUGAAAUACAGAGAUUUCUUUUGCUUUCUUUUUCUCUCUACUAUUUUCUAUUUUCUUGGAAGCCAAACAGCCUCUGAGGAUGUUUUCCCAGAGGAUGAGAGGCUAAACUUAUAGUUUCUUGGAGUGAAGGAAGCUAGGUGAAAAGUCCAGAUUAAAAGGUGGAAAGUUUCCGUGCAUUAAAUUCAGGUAGUUGGAAUCCAUAAAUGGCUUCUAAACCCAAAGUUUUGCUUUAAAUCCCUUAGAAUCACUUUGACUGGCCAAUACAUGGUAAGCUUCAGGUCUCUGUGGAUGCUUAUUGCUAGAUCCAUAUCAGUCCAUUAGUUAUCAUGUACGAGCCAGUGGAAAGUAAUUCAAGGUGAUAACCCAUAGUGUCUUAAGCCAUUAAUGGACCUUGACUACCAUCUCUAUUGACUUUUUAUGGAUUAAAUCUUCAUUGUCAAACCUAUACCGGUUCGGGAAAUAACUAUAGGUUAAAUCCCCAAUGCGAGGAGAAAAAUCCGGAAUUUUCCACUUUGCAUCCUGAACUUGAACCUAGCAACCUUUAGCUCCAGAAAACUUUCUUUCUUCCACUUUUACUUAGGUCUAUGUGAGUUUAGUUUCAAUCACUACUUUCAAAACAAUUUUAUUUUCUUUUAAAUUUCAAGUUUGUGCUAAAAGAAAUCAUCAGAAUCACUUUCUAAUUUAGAGUCUGUCACUGAUAGAGUGAAAACCCAUCCCUGAGUUCGACCCUAGAACUGCUAUACUAUAGUAGCUUUGCUACGCCAGUAUAAGGUCAUAGGAUUUAUAAAUAUUUUUGAUUAAAAUACCCGGCUUGGCACGAAUCAUUAAGCAAGGAUUUUGGAUGAUUACAGGCUUGAAUUUCAAGUGGAAACACGAGCACAAGCAAUGGAGAAGAGGAAAACAGAGUGAAGAAAACAGCUGCAGUCUUAUUUCACACUUUUGAAGCACUUCCUGAAGUCCAUUUUUUGCAUACUAUAUACCAUUUGAAAGCUUAGGAAGUCAAGAAUCCAACACUUCAAACCGUGUAUGAUUUGGAGCUGAAAUGAGGAAGAUAUAGCCUUUGGAAGACAACUGCAUCAUGUCAAAUGACCAAUUUCGCAAGGAGAUUUUCUUCAUGGUGCGAAAUUUGGCCACUUCGCACCAUGAAGAACCCCCUUGCGAAAAUUUCGCAAGGUGGAUUUAGGCACAUUGCGAAAUUCCUUUGAAUCCUUUGUUUCUCCACGCACGCACCACCGACUUCCCAAAUAUUUUUAGCUUGAUAUUUUCUCGUGUAAAUUCCUUUUGUAACCUUGUAUUCAGCCGACAUAAAGCUUUAUCUUGUAAUUUUGCUAUAUAUAGAGGUGCACAACACCUCCAAAACAUGGGGGGAUAUAUUGGGGAUCGAUCCUCUGUACAUUAACUUAGAAAUAUAUAAAGCUUUGUUUUUCUCUCUUCUCCUGUUCUUCCCCAUUUCUAUUUUCUUAGUAGCCAAACAGCCUCUGAGGGCUUUUCCUCAGAGGAUGAUUGGCUAAAACUUUUAGUUUCUCAAAGUAAGGAUGUUAUGUGAUGGCUUGGAUGCAAUCCCAUGGAAAUUUCUCGCACCUGGAAGGUAAGGUAGUCGUUUUUCAUUAAGGGUUCAUUAAUGCAAAGUUUGGUUUUUAUUUCCUUUGGACAACUUCCAACGGCCAAUACUUGAUAAGCUUUUGGAUUUCUAUCCAUUAGUUAUCUCCUACGAGCUAUNNNNNNNNNNNNNNNNNNNNNNNNNNNNNNNNNNNNNNNNNNNNNNNNNNNNNNNNNNNNNNNNNNNNNNNNNNNNNNNNNNNNNNNNNNNNNNNNNNNNNNNNNNNNNNNNNNNNNNNNNNNNNNNNNNNNNNNNNNNNNNNNNNNNNNNNNNNNNNNNNNNNNNNNNNNNNNNNNNNNNNNNNNNNNNNNNNNNNNNNNNNNNNNNNNNNNNNNNNNNNNNNNNNNNNNNNNNNNNNNNNNNNNNNNNNNNNNNNNNNNNNNNNNNNNNNNNNNNNNNNNNNNNNNNNNNNNNNNNNNNNNNNNNNNNNNNNNNNNNNNNNNNNNNNNNNNNNNNNNNNNNNNNNNNNNNNNNNNNNNNNNNNNNNNNNNNNNNNNNNNNNNNNNNNNNNNNNNNNNNNNNNNNNNNNNNNNNNNNNNNNNNNNNNNNNNNNNNNNNNNNNNNNNNNNNNNNNNNNNNNNNNNNNNNNNNNNNNNNNNNNNNNNNNNNNNNNNNNNNNNNNNNNNNNNNNNNNNNNNNNNNNNNNNNNACCAUUUCGCAGGUGAAAACGAGGUCUGCGAGAUUUCGCAGAUGCACAAAAAGGGCUGCGAAAUCAUUUCGCAACAAAAGGCUAAUCUCGCAGUGCUGCGAAGUUGGCUUUCAUAUUGAGGUGCUCAGCUUCCAGCGUGUCGCAUAUAUCGGGUAACUUCAGGAGGAAUUUCAAAACACGGUACAAAAAGGCUGUGAAAUCAUCUCGCAACAAAAGGGUGAUUUCGCAACACUUUGCAAAUUUCUUCCUUCAGCUUGGAGUGAUUGGCUUGCAAUGGCUGUAACUCCUUCAUUUCAACUUCGAAUUGCUCACCGUUUGAAGCAUUGGAUUCUUGGCUUCCUGAGCUUUGAAAUGGUAUAUAGAAUGUUGAAAAUGAACUUCAGGAAGUGCUCCAAAAGUGGCUGACAUGACUGUCAUCAAGAAUGCUUCAUGGCAGAUUUCUCUUUGCUUCCCCUCCUUGCAUUCCGGAUUUGCUGAUGGCAAAGGACUUCAAAGGUUCAGUUCUUCAUGUUUCUGAGCUUUCCAUUGCUUUUCCAUGGAUUCCAAAUAACCCUCCUCAAUCUUGGAUUGCUUUGGUGAUCAAAAAGCUAUCAAAACACCAAAACUUAACACAAUUUGAUUAAAAUUGAUUGCAAGGGUCCUUAACAUGUUAAUUGGGUUAAAAGGCAAUAACUACUACUCAAAAGUGGUUAAAAGAGUUAAUUACAAGCUAUCAAAUAGCACUUUUUGAGUAGUAAUCACUCCCCCCAACCGACAUAUUGCUAGUCCCUUAGCAAUGAAGGAGAGAAAAAUAAAAAUAAAAAGUACUAUAAUUUACAACAUCAUGCUGAUCAAAAAACAAUUUUCAAGUGGCAUGAUGAUCUAACUCUCACAUGGAACAUUAAAGAAAUAAAACUCAAACUUCAACAAGAGUUAUCAAAUAACUUGUCUAAUCACAAUUCUUAAAGAGAAGGCAUUAUGCAAAUUGAAGCUUUAAAAUCAUUUCCACUUCCAAAGGACCAAACCUUACUCUUCCACAAAAAUCUAAGUGUUAUUUAUUAGUUUCCGAAUAUAGUAUGUGGAACUAAUCUCUCCCCUCAACCUAGUUUUUUUUUUUUCAAAGCUUAGCAAGCUGAUCAACCUCCAAUAGGCUAAGAACGCACCUCUUUUCUCACUAUUUUUUUUUUCAUUGUAGGAGUACAAGGCUUAAAGGUAUUCUUUUCUAAAUUGUCCAUGUAACGGGGGUCCAUCGAUGACUCCCAACCAAUUAAGGUUUAGGGCAUCAAGCUUUAAGGAUCUUUCAACCACUAACUCCUCGGAUUUUACCCCGGACUUUUGAGAAUGAAUUUUAAUACCCAAGCACCUACAGUAUGUUAAACUCCACCUAUCCACCCUUGUAACGAGCAUUGAGGUCGGUGACUCCCAACCAAUUAAGGCUUAGGGCACCAGGUUUUAAAGAUUUUCACCAUAUACCCCUCAGACCUUGCUCGGGUUUCAAAGCAAGCAAACAUUUUUUCUUUCUUUCUUUUUUUUCUUCAAAGACUCAUUGGCCUUUUAUAAGGUGUCCAACACUAUUAAAUGAGGUCAAAGGUACCAAGUCUAAAAUUUUCCUAAGUCAAGAGGGAAAUAGUUUUUCAUCUUAUAAUCGGAACCUAUUGUGCACAGUGUGUGAAUAGGUUAAAGUGGAAGAACUAAUGUUAAAUUCAAAAGAAGUUUCAACAAUUCAUCAACUUUAAUAAGCAUAAUACAAAAUCUAAGUCAAGUAAAAAGACAAAAAUUCAAUUUCUCCCUUUUCAUUUUGAAAAUUUUUCCUUAAUAACCAUGGAGAGUAGAAUAAAAACUUUAAAAAAUUUUAAAUUAAGCAAAAAACAACUAAAUUACCAAAAUAACUUAGCAUUAUUAACAAUACUUACUUCCUCAACUCUCUCCCCCCAACCAAGCUGAACAUUGUCCUCAAUGUGACAAAAGCGAUUGAAAAAUAGGGAGGAAGUGGUACCUCCUGAGUGACAUGGAGUCUGAGUCGUAUAGGAGAAACCACAUGUUUCAAAGAAAACAUAAGAGUUAGUGAGUAGAGGAAAUAGAAAAAUGCCAAGUUUGAACAAAAAUGAUGUCUAUAUAUGAUGUAUCAUCAGUAAUACAUCCAAUCCAAGAAUGUAAGACAUCAAAACAUGGAAUUAUUUAUACUAAUAUAAUAUGUAAAGACAAAAAGUAAAGAGAUGAUCAAGUAAUGGUAAGGUCCUGUGGAGCUGAUGCAUCUGUGGUGGCCUCUUGAGUGGGUUGGAUCAGGACUUUGACCUUUGCUUUGGUAGUCUUCUUAGAUGGCAUAGUCUCCUCAACUGGAGCUCUCAGCUGGUGCUAUGGGCUCUGAUGGUUUUAGGAGGUCAGAAAUGGAGUGAGAGGCUUGGUGUGUGUGAUCCCAGGGUGCGCGGGGCUCUAUUGGCAUUUUCACAACUUCCCUUGGCUUUGCAAGGUGUUUUUGCAAACCUUCCUCCAUUUCGCAAGUCAAUUUCGCAAUUUGAAGGGUAUUUCGAUGCUUGGAGGUGAUUUUGCAGCCAUUUCAAAGCUUGGAGAUCAUUUUGCAGCCAUUUCAAAGCUUAAAAGUGAUUUCGCAUCCCAAAAUUGAUUUCGCAGCCCAUUUUGCAGCUGCAAAAUGAGUGUACGGGGACUUCGAAAUGGCUCUCUUGUACCAAAAAGUGGUUUCGCAGCUCAAAGGUGAUUUCGCAGCUGUAUCACAGCUUCGAAAUGAGGGGAACUGUGCUGCAAAAUGGCACUCGUGUGCCAAAAAGUGGUUUCGCAGCUGCGAAACACCCUUCCAAAUGGUGUCUCGGCUGCGAAAUUCUCGCUCAGCUUUGUGCGCUUGUCUUCAAAUGGCCAUAACUUCUUCGUUUCAACUCCAAAUUAUGCACCGUUUGAAGCUCUAGACUCCUGACUUCUCAAGCUUUGAAACAAGAUAUGGUAUGCAUAAUUUGAGCUCCAGGAAGUGAUUCAAAAAUGUGUCCAAUAGUAGCAAAAUGGAGGUGCGACAUUUCCGCUCAUGGUUUGCACAGUCAUCUUCAAAUGGCCAUAACUUUUCCGUUUCAAAUCCAAAUCGAGCACCGUUUGAAGAUAUGGACUCCUGACUUCCCAAUAUUUGAAACAAGAUAUUGCAUUCAUAAUUUGAACUUCGGGAAGUGAUCGAGAUGUGUCCAACAAUUGCCGAAAUGGGGGUGCGGCUGUGACAUGUCAGCUCAUGGUGUGCGCGCUGAAGGAUUUUAAGGUGUCGAGGUUUCGCAGCCAUUUCGCAGCUGCGAAAUGAGUGUACGGGGCUUCCAAAUGGCAUUCGUGUGCCAAAAAGUGGUUUCGCAGCUGCGAAAUACUCUUCAAAAUGGAGCUUUGGCUGCGAAAUUGGGAUUUUUCACGUUUUGGGACUUCGCAGCCAUUUCGCAGCUGCGAAAUGGGAGUCACUGUGCUGCGAAAUGGCACUCGUGUGCCAAAGUUGGUUUCGCAGCUGCAAAAUCCUCUGCGGAAUGGAGCUUUGGCUGCAAAAUCAGGAAUUUUCACGCUUUGUAGCUUCGCAGCCGUUUCGCAGCUGCGAAAUGGGGGUCACUAUGCUGCGAAAUGGCACUCGUGUGCUAAAGUUGGUUUCGCAGCUGCGAAAAUUUUUGCAAAGAGGGGCCUGAGGCUGCAAAAUGGUUUCGCAGCAAAGUAUCGAUUUCGCAGAGGCUGCGAAAUCUCACAGAUCCCUGUUUUUGCCCUGUUUUUGCUCCGUUUUCGCUCCGAUUUUUGCUCCGAUUUCGCUCCGAAAGACUUCCUUCAAUUUCUUUGCAAUUCCUCCUGAUUUUGAUCAUCCAAAAACCUAUAUUACAUCAAAACAAAUUAGAAUUAAAGCAUUGAAAUCAAAAUUAAAGCAUUGAAAUCAAAAUUAAAGCAUUGAAAUCAAAAUUAAAAUAAGUAAAAAAAACAAAACAAAAAGAUAUGGACUAGGUAGUCUUUAAAAAGACUAAGUCCAUCAAAAAAUUUGAUCCUGAUUUAGCUUGCCCGGAUCCCAUAUGAAGUUUGCAUCUCUCACUUGGGACUUGGUUUGUAUGAUUUUCUCAUACAAAGCUUGGAGAAAAAGUGGAGGCACGUGUUUCUUCAUCAAUUCUUUCUUGAUGACUAUCCUCUGUGGUUUUUCAUCUAUACUAAGAUCAUAACCAUCUUUUUCUAUGCUUUUCCCCUUUUUCUUUCCUUUGAUUUCCUCCCUCUUUUCUUUCUCUGUUUCACUCUCUACCUUAUGCUCUAGCUUGCAUGUGGGCAGAUCAACCUCUUUACCACUCCUCAAAGUGAUCACUUCUUCAAUUUCCUUCACCAUUGAAGAUUCUCCCUCUUGAGCCUCCACUUCAUGGAUACUCAUGGAAUUUUGAUAAGGUUGAGAAGGAGAGUUUUCUUUCUCUUGCACUGUGUUCAAAUUUGUGAGCCUUGAAAUUGAAUAUUGGAUGUUAUCAAACUUUUGGGCCAUAUCAUUUUGCAUUUCAUCCAUCAUUUUAUUCAAAGUACUCUCCAUUCUGUCAAUUCUUUGAUUGAGUUGAGCAUUGAUGGCUUUUUGAGCUCCAACAAAGUCUUCCAAAACCUUGGUAAGAUUCACUAUAGCUUGUUCAAGGUUUGAGGCUUGCUGUGGUGCUUGAGCAGGUUGCUGAUACUGAGGUGGCUGUGGUUUCCAAGAGAAAUUUGGAUGGUCCCUCCAAUUGGAAUUGUAGGUGUUGCAAUCACCAAACAUUUCCCUCAUGGCUGGAAUGGUAGGACACUCUUCCCCCAAGUGCUCAUAAGAUAGACAAAUGGCACAAGGCAUAGCUUGCAAUGGUGUCUGAGAGAUGGCUUGCACUGGUUGCAUAUUCGUCAUUUCUAGCUUUUCCAAUCUCCUUUCCAUAGCUGCAAUCUUUGCCCUCAUGUCUAUGCUGUCAUUUAAAAUAUACAUCUCACUCUUAGCAUUAUGUUGAGACGUCAUUCUUCCCAUAUCUCUAGCAUUUGGUUCAUCCCAUCCUCUUGAAACUUCAGCCACAUAACUCAUGAAGUUCAUGGCUUCCUCUGCUAUCUCGUAUUCAAUAUGGUAUGCACAACUAGCAAUUUGUGAAUUAAAAACAGAGAACACAAAAGAAAACAAAAGAAAAAUGAUUCUAAGGAAAAAAAUUAAGGUAAACUAAAAACUAAAUAAAAGAUAUACUAAAACAUGAACAAUAAAGAAAUAAAUAGAGUUAGUAAAAUGAAAAGAAAAGUCACCAAACUUGUGAUGAAGAUCACAAGUACUCUAGAAAGGUGAUAUCACUGUAAAGUGGCACCAUCCCCGGCAACGGCGCCAUUUGAUUCAUGCCCAAUUGGUGUCUCAGCUGAUUCAUGUCCAGCUGGUGCUCCUUGAUUGAGGGAGUAAUCAACAAAAUUUAUAACCUAUUACACCAUAUACUAGGGUAGCAAAGACAAAGCUACUAUAGCAUAGUGGCUCUAGGAUCGUUCACUGGGAUGGGUUUUCACUUCACAAAUGAUAUUAAUUCAAAGUUGAAUUGGUGCCUUUUCAUUUCAAGGUUAGCUUUAAAAGAAAACAUAAAGAUGUUGGAAUGAAAAAAAAAGUUUGGUUUUAAACUAACCAAAAAUAGUAACUGAUUUUACUUACAAAGAAAAGUGUUUCUUGGAGUUUCAGAUCACUAGGCUCAGAUUCCUCAUACAAAAAGGGAGUUCCGGUCACUUGUUUCUUUUCCUCGCAUUAGAGAAUUAACAUAUAGCUCCUUCUCCAACCGGUGUUGUACAGAUGCUUCCCAUUAAUGGGUUCAAACACUAAAUCCCUCUCACUGAUGCACCUUGCAAUGGCUCAUGCCUCUCACCUAGCACUUGCCAUUCAAGAUGAUCUUUAACCUUGGAUUACCCGUCAAAAGCUCGCAAGAGAUAAACUAGUGAAUCUCCAUGGAUGGAGAUCACUUGCCUUACCAAGUGUUGGCCUAGGUGAUUUAAAGGUGUUUUAAGUUAACUAAAAAGAUAAAAACCAUUAACGGGUCACACUUUCUCUUCAUUAAAAACUAAAACAACAAAACUUCCAAAUUAUGCAUGUGGAAACUUACCCGGCUUUCCUCACUCCAAGAGACAAAAAGCUUAGCCUCUCAUCCUCUGUGGAAAAUCCCUCAGAGUUUGGUUGGCUAGAAAGAAAACUAACGAGAAAACAAGAAUAUAUAUGAAAAGCAGAGCAAGUGCUAUGUUCGUUGAUUCUAUAUAUGAUAUAUCUAUCUAUCUAUCUAUCUAUCUCGUCGGAUUAUAUCAUUAUAUGAUGAUAUUCUCUGAGAACAAGCUCCCGAGAGCUAUAUAUAAAGAAAAUUACAAAACAAAAUAUCUGAGGUUAUUCACCCAUUUUCCAAACUUAAUAACUAAGGAAUCCUAUAAUUGGUGGGUUGCAAGGAGAAUCUGGGGAUUUAGACAACAAAAAUCUGAAGCAAAAUAUCCAAAAGUGUCGGUCGCAAAUAUCGGGAAGCACUAAGGACCAUUUCGCAUGUGAAAAUGAGGUCUGCGAGAUUUCGCAGAUGCACAAAAAGGGCUGCGAAAUCAUUUCGCAACAAAAGGCUAAUCUCGCAGUGCUGCGAAGUUGGCUUUCAUCUUGAGGUGCUCAGCUUCCAGCGUGUCGCAUAUAUCGGGUAACUUCAGGAGGAAUUUCAAAACACUGUACAAAAAGGCUGCGAAAUCAUCUCGCAACAAAAGGGUGAUUUCGCAACACUUUGCAAAUUUCUUCCUUCAGCUUGGAGUGAUCGGCUUGCAAUGGCUGUAACUCCUUCAUUUCAACUCCGAAUUGCUCACCGUUUGAAGCAUUAGAUUCUUGGCUUCCUGAGAUUUGAAAUGGUAUAUAGAAUGUAGAAAAUGGACUUCAGGAAGUGCUCCAAAAGUGGCUGACAUGACUGUCAUCAAGAAUGCUUCAUGGCAGAUUUCUCUUUGCUUCCCCUCCUUGCAUUCCGGAUUUGCUUAUGGCAAAGGACUUCAAAGGUUCGGUUCUUCAUGUUUUUGAGCUUUCCAUUGCUUUUCCAUGGAUUCCAAAUAACCCUCCUCAAUCUUGGAUUGCUUUGGUGAUAAAAAAGCUAUCAAAACACCAAAACUUAACACAAUUUGAUUAGAAUUGAUUGCAAGGGUCCUUAACAUGUUAAUUGGGUUAAAAGACAAUAACUACUACUCAAAAGUGGUUAAAAGAGUUAAUUACAAGCUAUCAAAUAGCACUUUUUGAGUAGUAAUCAAAACCUCUGAGACAUAACUUAGGAAAUCCAUAGCCUCCUCAGGGUUCUUGCUCAUGAAAUCACCCCCACACAUUGUCUCCAAUAUCUGCUUCAUUGAAGAUGACAUGCCAUCAUAAAAAUAGCUCACCAAAAGCCAUGUAUCAAAUCCGUGGUGAGGACAUGCAUUGAUGGCCUCCAUAUACCUCUCCCAGCGUUCAUAAAAUUUUUCAUUCUCACGUGCUGAGAAGUUGGAGAUUUGUCUCUUCAAUCCAUUUGUUCUAUGAGUAGGGAAAAACUUCUUCAAAAAAUCAGCUUGAAGUUCUGUCCAUGUUCUUAUGCUUCUCGGCUUCAAGGAAUUGAGCCAUAUCUUGGCUUUGUCCUUUAAUGUGAAUGGAAAGAGCUUCAACCUCAUAAGCUCAAUAACUGUUUCCCCUUCUUGAAAAGUAUUGCACACAUCUUCGAAUUCCUUUAUGUGCGCAUAUGGAUUUUCACUUUCCAUCCCAUGGAAAGUAGGAAGCAGAGGCACAAUGUGUGGCUUGAUAAUCAAUUGCUCUGUAGGAGGAAUGAUGCAAGAUGGUGCACUCAUCCUCGGAGGGUGCAUCCUGUCCCUCAUGGACCUAUACAAGUUCGGAUCAUUCCCCUGCCCGUGUUGUGAAUGUUGAUCCUCUGGCUGAUUCUCCAUGACUUUCCAAAAAAUCUCNNNNNNNNNNNNNNNNNNNNNNNNNNNNNNNNNNNNNNNNNNNNNNNNNNNNNNNNNNNNNNNNNNNNNNNNNNNNNNNNNNNNNNNNNNNNNNNNNNNNUAAGGGUAUCAACAAAAUUUAUACCUAAGGUCCUUACACUAAAGUAGCAAAGCUACUAUAGCAUAGUGGCUCUAGGAUCGAACACUGGGAAGAGUUUUUACUUUAACUAGUGAAGUUCGGAGGAUGGAGUGAACUUUUCUUAAUAAAAAUUAGGUUAAGAUGAAAACAUAAAAAGAUGAAGGUGUUGUAAGCUAAACUAACAUGAAAAUAGGUUAAAAGAUGGAAAAAGAAGUUUCUCAAAGCUUUGGAUAGCCAUGCUUAACUCACUGUGUA